Molecule: ribosomal RNA, 1441 nt
Filed under: uncultured Candidatus Pelagibacter sp.
Lineage: Bacteria; Pseudomonadati; Pseudomonadota; Alphaproteobacteria; Candidatus Pelagibacterales; Candidatus Pelagibacteraceae
Description: bacterial SSU rRNA
Rfam family: Bacterial small subunit ribosomal RNA
Source: RNAcentral
AGGGUUUGAUUAUGGCUCAGAACGUACGCUGGCGGCACGCCUAACACAUGCAAGUCGAACGAAGUAGCAAUACUUAGUGGCAGACGGGUGAGUAACAUGUAGGUAUCUGCCCUUUGGCCUGGAAUAACACGAGGAAACUUGUGCUAAUACCGGAUAAGUCUUUACGGAGAAAGCUUUAUGCACCAUUGGAUGAGCCUGCACUUGAUUAGUUUGUUGGUAGGGUAAUGGCCUACCAAGACUGUGAUCAAUAGCUGAUUUGAGAGGAUGAUCAGCCACAUUGGGACUGAGACACGGCCCAAACUCCUACGGGAGGCAGCAGUGGGGAAUCUUGCACAAUGGAGGAAACUCUGAUGCAGCGAUGCCGCGUGAGUGAAGAAGGCCCUUGGGUUGUAAAGCUCUUUCGUCGGGGAAGAAAAUGACUGUACCCGAAUAAGAAGGUCCGGCUAACUUCGUGCCAGCAGCCGCGGUAAUACGAAGGGACCUAGCGUAGUUCGGAAUUACUGGGCUUAAAGAGUUCGUAGGUGGUUGAAAAAGUUGGUGGUGAAAUCCCAGAGCUUAACUCUGGAACUGCCAUCAAAACUUUUCAGCUAGAGUAUGAUAGAGGAAAGCAGAAUUUCUAGUGUAGAGGUGAAAUUCGUAGAUAUUAGAAAGAAUACCAAUUGCGAAGGCAGCUUUCUGGAUCAUUACUGACACUGAGGAACGAAAGCAUGGGUAGCGAAGAGGAUUAGAUACCCUCGUAGUCCAUGCCGUAAACGAUGUGUGUUAGACGUUGGAAAUUUAUUUUCAGUGUCGCAGCGAAAGCGAUAAACACACCGCCUGGGGAGUACGACCGCAAGGUUAAAACUCAAAUGAAUUGACGGGGACCCGCACAAGUAGUGGAGCAUGUGGUUUAAUUCGAAGAUACGCGCAGAACCUUACCAACACUUGACAUGUUCGUCGCGACUUUAAGAGAUUAAAGUUUUCGGUUCGGCCGGACGAAACACAGGUGCUGCAUGGCUGUCGUCAGCUCGUGUCGUGAGAUGUUGGGUUAAGUCCCGCAACGAGCGCAACCCUCACUUUUAGUUGCCAUCAUUAAGUUGGGCACUCUGAAAGAACUGCCAGUGAUAAGCUGGAGGAAGGUGGGGAUGACGUCAAGUCCUCAUGGCCCUUACGUGUUGGGCUACACACGUGCUACAAUGGUAUCUACAACAGGAAGCAAGAUGGCGACAUCAAGCAAAUCCUUAAAAGAUACCUCAGUUCGGAUUGCACUCUGCAACUCGAGUGCAUGAAGCUGGAAUUACUAGUAAUCGUGGAUCAGCGUGCCACGGUGAAUGCGUUCCCGGGUCUUGUACACGCCGCCCGUCACACUAUGGGAGUUGGUUCUACCUUAAGGCAAGGUUUAAAACCCUUGACCACGGUAUAGUCAGCGACUGGGGUGAAGUCGUAACAAGGUAGCCAAGGG